UUUAACCCCUCAACCUGAGCCUUUUCUUGGCCAUUCUGCCACUGAGCACGUGACCACGCUGCCCGUUGCUCACGCCUUCCAUGUCUCCCUCUCUCUCCUACAGCUGCGCUCUGCGGAGCUAAAGCUAAUUGUACUCGCAGCGUGCCAGAGGAGCUCACUCGCGUCGAGACCUGCCUGUUUUUUCUUGCCGUGCGGGUGCGGUCACCGCCGCCGCCGCCGCCGUGCUCCGUGCCGUGUCCGUGAUCUGCCAUCCAGCCGUGCAUGCGCCGAGGCUUCGACCCCUGCGGUUCCGGCGACGCCGUUGUAAUGGAAGCAGCCACAUUCAAGGAGAUAGCCAGAACUGAACUAUAAUCAGAUACUGUUGCUGUGCAAGACAUACUCAAAUGACUGACAUGAGGCGCCACUCGGUCUCCGUGGACGUCCCACUGUCAAGAACCCUGGUGCAGCUCAAGCGAGUGAGGUCGCUGCGGGAUCCAGCAACAAACUCUAUGAGCAAGUAUGCAUCUCCUUCUGACAGUAUGAUCUGGGAGACUGCUUCUAGCAAUGGAGCGAUGAUGGAAGGAAGCAGGUCAGCACACCAUCAUUUGAUUGAGGAGGAUGUGGAUUUGGAAGCCGAAGCUACAAUGGGGUCAGAGCGAAGCUUCCGGGCACCAAAUGCAAGAACUGCAUCUUACAGGAAAUCUUCAGUUGUCAGGAUCAGAGGCUUAAACCCACCAAGAAACAAGCAAGUUCAUCGUGUCCGCGGAGAUGGUCACAGGAAAUCAGUGGAUUCUAACCACUCUAAUCAUAGCUCUCUUAGGCAGUUGGCAAACAAUAUAGUAACCAACGUGGUGGAGGAGAAGGAAGAGGAGGAGGUGAAUUCCUAUGAACGGGUGUUGCCAGAGAAGAGCGAGGAAGAAGUGAAAAGGCGUUCCAAAUUCAAGGGCAAGUCUUCUGCUGCAAUGAGCCGCGUUGGCAGCCCUUGUAUGUCUGCCAGUGAAGCGCGCUCAGUUGGGUCCAGAAGAAGCACAGUAGGGCAUGGAACUGAGGACACACAAGUGAGGUCGAAUGAUGUUGUAGGACCAAACUUCAGUGGAUGUGGUAUAAGCUACUGCUGGUCAGGAGCAUCAAAGUACCGCGAUCUUUAUUCCGAUAGUGAUGGUCCAGAGCAACCUCUCCUAUCCCCAGAGGGGACUGAGGUACCGUUCCAAGAAAAUGUACCAUACACUGAGACACCAAGGUGUUUAAGCCAAAAAUUUCGCCCUCGAUCCUUCAGUGAACUGAUUGGCCUCAAUGUGGUUGCUCAGUCCCUCUUGUAUUCCUCUUGCAAAGGGAAGAUUGCUCCAAUGUACUUGUUCCAUGGCCCCCGGGGUACAGGCAAGACGUCUACGGCACGCAUUUUUGCUGCUGCUCUAAAUUGCCUCUCUCUUGAAGAGCAAAGGCCAUGUGGGUUCUGUAAAGAGUGUGUUAUUCUCUUCUCUGGGAGGAGCAGAGAUGUAAAAGAAAUUGAUGCAGCAAAAAUGGAUCGCUUGGGUCGCGUAAAGGCACUUCUCAAGAGCGCAUCUCUUGUCCCAUACUCGUCACGCUUCAAGGUUUUCAUAGUUGAUGAAUGCCAUCUGUUGCUAGAAGAUGCCUGGUCGGCAAUAGUGAAGAGUCUUGAUGAGCCAUACCGGCAUGCUGUCUACAUUAUGAUUACUUCUGAUCUAGAUAGCUUGCCUCGCACUUCCGUCACACAUUGCCAGAAGUUCCAUUUUCCAAAGAUAAAGGUUGCAGAUAUUGUCAACAGGUUGGAGAGAAUCUGCGUAGAUGAGGGGUUAGAAUUUGACCAUGAUGCGUUGCACUUCAUUGCUGCAAAGUCUAAUGGUUCUCUUAGAGACGCUGAAAUAAUGCUGGAUCAACUUAGUUUGCUUGGGAAGAGGGUCACAAUUUCUCUUGUGCAUGAACUUGUAGGAUUGGUGUCUGAUGAUGAGUUGAUUGAGUUGCUUGAUCUAGCACUGUCAUCGGACACAACCAACACGGUUAGACGAGCUCGGGAACUUAUGGCGUCGUCGGUUGAUCCUCUGCAGCUGGUCUCUCAGCUGGCAAACCUUAUUAUGGACAUUCUCUCAGGACGAUGUCAAUCCGCGGUCACUGAAGUCAGCAAAAGUUUCUUGGGAAGAUAUGCGUUGGCAGAUGUUGGUAUAGAGAAACUAAGACAUGCACUGAAAAUACUGUCAGAAGCUGAAAAACAGUUGAGGACAUCAAGAAAUAAGGCAACUUGGGUUACUGUUGCACUUUUGCAGUUUGGCAGCUCUGAAUCUGACAUAGUAGCAGAAACAAAUGACAUGCAUGCACGCUCAGCAACAGGAUAUACAGAUGACUGGGUAUCCAAGGUAAACUCAAGCUCCAAUUUCUGCGAUGCGUGUAACAGCAACAAGUCCAACUGUUCUGAGAGACACUGUAGACGGCUUAAGCUUGAAAACAUCUGGAGGAGAGCCACUGGGAAGUGUCAAUCAAGAUCAGCCAGAAGUUUCCUCAAGAAAGAAGGAAUCCUAUCAUCAGUCCAUGUUACCGAAGAGGUGGCUAUAGCUGAAGUUGGAUUUAGUCACCCGGAUCACCUAUCAAGGGCAGAGAAAAUGCAAAGCCUGAUACAAGGAGUACUGCAGCACGUUCUCGGGUUCAAUGUGGAGAUCAGAUUCAAACUUGUCCCGUGUGCUGCGAGGAAAGAUGCAAGGUCGAAGAGACACUCAUUCAGCCUGCUCGGCUGCUCGGGACGAAAGCAAGAGCUGUCAGAUUCCACAGUGACAGAUGAGGAUGAACCUGUGAGGCAUGGAGCAAGAGAAACACCUCUGAAAGGCUACUCCUCUAGUCAGCAGCCAUCGCCAUUCAUUGUGCAACGUGUUGAUUCUAAGCCAACAGUUCAUGGCUCCGAGGACGAUGCCCGGAGCACCUUGACAUCAAACAGAUCCAUGACUGAUGACCUGACAAGGACAUGUAGGUCGGAGGCUAACUACUCCAAGGGCGCAAGUGAGCAGGGUCGUUUCGACAGCAUCCAGGAGCCCGACCUUCAGCCGAAUUGCUUCUCACGAACAUUGAAGCUUCAAAAGAGGUUCUUCUCGUCGGAUGCAGCACACACAAUCUGUUUCAGGAUCCAGCCACACAACAAAAUGGGUUUCCUACCUAAGAAAGAAUUCGAUACAUAUUUCUGCACAUAUGGGCCCUAUGAGCAGUGUCCAAGAUCGAAUUCGAGAGCUACUUACGGUUCAAGAGAUGAGGACUUGUCCAUCAAGACUUCUUCUGGGUUUGGUUCGAACCUGCUCUGCUGGAAGGGCCCUAAACAGUCAAUCUAACAGGGCACACAACUGAUCGGUUUUACAUGAAAAUUUACAGGAACAUAAAGGCCUCGAACAAUUGAAAUGGAUGAUCAAACAAGAUGAGCCAGUCACAUAAAUUCUGAAAAUCAAAAUUUUGCCCGAAGCUGGAGAGUUGGCACCUUUGGCAGCAAUUUUUUUAGGAGAGUCUGCGGACUGGAUUCAGUCUAAAUGCAUUUGCAUCGAGGGAGUUCUUGCUAUUUGUAAAACAAAUGAUGAAACUUGUUGUCUGUAGGCCGCAUUUAGUCAGAUUUUUUAGCUAAGCAGAUUUGACAGGAGACCUGGAGAGGCUGUUUCCACUUCUUGUAUGAAAGAACUAAAUAAUGCUAGUGAUGAUUUGUACAGCAUGCUGAUGAUACAUCCAAGUUUUCUAAAUUUGAACAACUUUUUUAGCA
RNA transcript from Triticum dicoccoides, 3724 nucleotides. It is a transcript of the gene named protein STICHEL-like 2, with no coding region annotated. Lineage: Eukaryota; Viridiplantae; Streptophyta; Magnoliopsida; Poales; Poaceae. The record is from RefSeq and is a predicted model, not a curated record. The transcript is spliced from 9 exons.